This 558-nucleotide ribosomal RNA is filed under the name uncultured archaeon. RNAcentral's name for it is "bacterial SSU rRNA". It matches the Rfam family "Archaeal small subunit ribosomal RNA", at positions 321 to 879 of the family's 1478-position model. The record is from RNAcentral.
CCCUUCGGGGUGCAGCAGGCGCGAAAACUUUACCAUGCGGGAAACCGUGAUAAGGGGACACCGAGUGCCAGCAUCAUAUGCUGGCUGUCCGGGUGUGUAAAAUACACCCGUUAGCAAGGGCCGGGCAAGACCGGUGCCAGCCGCCGCGGUAACACCGGCGGCCCGAGUGGUGAUCGUGAUUAUUGGGUCUAAAGGGUCCGUAGCCGGUUUGGUCAGUCCUCCGGGAAAUCUGACGGCUUAACCGUUAGGCUUUCGGGGGAUACUGCCAGGCUUGGAACCGGGAGAGGUAAGAGGUACUACAGGGGUAGGAGUGAAAUCUUGUAAUCCCUGUGAGACCACCUGUGGCGAAGGCGUCUUACCAGAACGGGUUCGACGGUGAGGGACGAAAGCUGGGGGCACGAACCGGAUUAGAUACCCGGGUAGUCCCAGCCGUAAACGAUGCUCGCUAGGUGUCAGGCAUGGCGCGACCGUGUCUGGUGCCGCAGGGAAGCCGUGAAGCGAGCCACCUGGGAAGUACGGCUGCAAGGCUGAAACUUAAAGGAAUUGGCGGGGGAGCAC